GGGCCCGCACAAGCGGUGGAGCAUGUGGAUUAAUUCGAAGCAACGCGAAGAACCUUACCUAGCCUUGACAUCCUUGGAACCUGCCCCCAAAAGGCGGGGUGCCCCUCGGGGAAUCAAGUGACAGGUGCUGCAUGGCUGUCGUCAGCUCGUGUCGUGAGAUGUUGGGUUAAGUCCCGCAACGAGCGCAACCCUUGUCUUUAGUUGCCAGCAUUUAGUUGGGCACUCUAGAGAGACUGCCGGUGUCAAGCCGGAGAAGGUGGGGACGACGUCAAGUCAUCAUGGCCCUUACGGCUAGGGCUUCACACGUGCUACAAUGGACGGUACAAAGGGUAGCGAAGCCGCGAGGUG
Molecule: ribosomal RNA, 348 nt
Filed under: uncultured bacterium
Lineage: Bacteria
Description: bacterial SSU rRNA
Rfam family: Bacterial small subunit ribosomal RNA
Source: RNAcentral